This 307-nucleotide long non-coding RNA is filed under the name Gossypium raimondii (Peruvian cotton). RNAcentral's name for it is "long non-coding RNA (GRAI_LNC002785)". The record is from RNAcentral. Lineage: Eukaryota; Viridiplantae; Streptophyta; Magnoliopsida; Malvales; Malvaceae.
GAAGAAGAACAAUUGAUGCGAUCAAAAUAUGUUCCUUUAAACUAAAUUGAAUAUUGCUCUCACUUAGUGUAUAAAAUAUGAGAAAGUUCAUUCUUUAUAAAGACUUUCUUCACAGUUUCGAAGUAUGCCUCGCAUUUUCGGACCGUUCCAGGAACUUAUCGUUACUUGUAUUGUGACACGAGGACGUCAAAAUCACAACAACUCCAACAGGCGACGACGUCGGGACAAGGAGGUUUUCGAUGUCACGAAGACGGACAACAUCAUGACAAGGCGAUUCGGGAUGUUGCUACGUGGCGACAUGUUUCCC